GCUGCGCUGUGGUGGCGCGUGCCUGUCGUCCCAGCUACUUGGGAGGCUGAGGUGGGAGGAUCGCUUGAGCCCAGGAGUUCUGGGCUGCAGUGCGCUAUGCCAAUCGGGUGUCCGCACUAAGUCGGGCAUCAAUAUGGUGACCUCCCGGGAGCGGGGGACCACUAGGUUGCCUAAGGAGGGGUGAACCGGCCCAGGUUGGAAACGGAGCAGGUCAAAACUCCCGUGGUGAUCAGUAGUUGGAUCGCGCCUGUGAAUAACCACUGCACUCCAGCCUAGGCAACAUAGCGAGACCCCAUCUCU
Molecule: signal recognition particle RNA, 300 nt
Filed under: Aotus nancymaae (Ma's night monkey)
Lineage: Eukaryota; Metazoa; Chordata; Mammalia; Primates; Aotidae
Description: Metazoan signal recognition particle RNA (ENSANAG00000012406.1)
Rfam family: Metazoan signal recognition particle RNA
About the family: The signal recognition particle (SRP) is a universally conserved ribonucleoprotein. It is involved in the co-translational targeting of proteins to membranes.
Source: RNAcentral